RNAcentral lists this long non-coding RNA (288 nucleotides) under Brassica rapa (field mustard). RNAcentral's name for it is "long non-coding RNA (BRAP_LNC005494)". Lineage: Eukaryota; Viridiplantae; Streptophyta; Magnoliopsida; Brassicales; Brassicaceae. The record is from RNAcentral.
CCAGUUUCAGCUCCAACCGUCUCACCACCGCCUGCACCUGCCUCUCCCCCACCGGCGUCACCACCUGCACCAACUUCUCCACCACCAGCACCAGCCUCACCCCCUCCAGCGCUUACGCCAAUAACUCUACCACCAGCACCAGCUCCUGCUAAGCACAAGAAAAAGCACAAACACAAGAGGCAUCACCAUGCCCCAGCUCCAGCACCAACUCCUCCAAGCCCUCCAUCUCCUCCAGUUCUAACAGAUUCCCAGGACACUGCUCCAGCACCAUCACCUUUCCAGAACGCG